This 72-nucleotide transfer RNA is filed under the name Danionella translucida. It matches the Rfam family "tRNA". Rfam says of the family: Transfer RNA (tRNA) molecules are approximately 80 nucleotides in length. The record is from Rfam by way of RNAcentral. RNAcentral also lists the same sequence under 1 other name. Lineage: Eukaryota; Metazoa; Chordata; Actinopteri; Cypriniformes; Danionidae.
GGCUCGUUGGUUUAGGGGUAUGAUUCUUGCUUAGGGUGCGAGAGGUCCCAGGUUCAAAUCCCGGACGAGCCC